RNAcentral lists this long non-coding RNA (24591 nucleotides) under Sorghum bicolor (sorghum). RNAcentral describes it as "long non-coding RNA (SBIC_LNC006447)". The record is from RNAcentral. Lineage: Eukaryota; Viridiplantae; Streptophyta; Magnoliopsida; Poales; Poaceae.
GGAACUACGAAUAUAUCUUAGUAGCUGUGGACUACGUGUCCAAAUGGGUAGAAGCCUUACCUUGUCGAUCAGCUGAUUCAAAACAUGCCAAGAGAAUGUUCCAUGAAGUAAUCUUUCCUCGCUUUGGUAUACCCCGGAUAGUUAUAAGCGAUGGAGGUUCCCACUUCAUCGAUAAAAUCUUCUGGAAGUACCUAGCCGAUCAUGGAGUUCGACACAACGUCGCAACACCAUACCAUCCUCAGACUAGCGGUCAAGCCGAAACAUCUAACAAACAAAUCAAAAAUAUUUUACAAAAGACCGUAGAUGAGAUGGGUAAGGGGUGGAAGGACAAACUUCCCGAUGCACUUUGGCAUAUAGAACUGCAUUGAAAACACCCAUAGGCAUGUCACCUUAUCAACUUGUAUAUGGAAAAACUUGUCAUUUGCCUGUGGAAGUAGAGUUUAAAGCUUAUUGGGCACUCAAGAAAUGGAACAUGGAUCUCCACCUCGCUAGCGAGAAUCGUCUGAUGCAACUAUCUGAGCUAGAAGAAUGGAGAGAAAGCCUACCACAAUUCAAGGAUCUAUAAAGAGAGAACAAAACGAUGGCAUGAUAAGAGAAUCAAGCACAAGGAGUUUAAGCCUGGAGAUAAGGUUCUACUAUUCAAUUCAAGAGUUAAGCUCUUUGGACAUGGUAAGCUACGAAGUAAGUGGGAUGGACCAUACAAGGUUAUUGACACUUCAACACAUGGAGCCAUUACCAUCCAAGACAACAUAGGUAACACUUUUAAGGUAAAUGGUCAACGCUUGAAAAUCUAUCUUGAGCCACAAAACAACCUGGUAGAGGAACUUGAUGUGAUUGAGUUCAUAGAAUUCUCACAUUAAAUAUUCAUAAGCUCUAGACAAUUACCUAACCCUUAACAUGCUCCACGAGUUUUGUUGUCUAUUUGGGUUAUGCAGGGUUUUUGAGGCUUAAGAAGAGUGAGACCGAACAUGCUGGCCACAAGAGUGAACGACUAUGUCAACAUCCAGCUUGGGGGAGGCACCCCCACGUGUAUCUUGAUAAGUAUUACUUUUCUUUCUUGGUCUUAUUUACUAGUAUUCAGAAAUAAAUAAAUAAAUAAAUAAAUGCAUAACCAUGAAACCAAAUAAAGUUUUCCUUUUGAGUAAUAUACAAUAGUUUUGUGUAAUCCUAAGUUUUAAAUAAAAUAAAAAGAAAGUUUGAUCCAAGUCUAGGUAUUUGACAAACAUGAUAUGAGAAGGUCUGAGCUACUAUUUAACUUGUUCCAAGUUUUGCUAGAAUUCUGGAGAUUUUAUCUUUUGAAAAUCUAAAAAUUCAUAAAAAAAAUGAGAUCAUAAUACCUAGAGUCUUAAUAGAUAUAAAUAUUAAAACUGUGGGCACUUGCUUUGUUCAAGCCCUUGUUAAUUCUUGUAGUUUUGGCUGAGAGAAUUAUCAUGCUCCAAAGAUCAAGAUCUUUUAGUUUUAAAAAUAUAAAAGAUUCACUCUUCUGAAGUAUUAUUGCGUUAGAGGCAUGGGACUAUACAAAAAUUUGAUUCGGAAAAAAAAGAAGUGAGACGAGAGGUAAAAAUGGACAAGUGUCCGAAGUAGAAUUAGGGGUACAAAGAUACCCACCUGAGUGAAAAAAAUGGACACGUGUCCGAUAGUAGAAUUAGGGGUACUUGGUGCCCACUUGAAAAAAAAAGAAUAAAAAAAAGAGAGAUACUAAAAAAAAGAAAAAAAAAGAUAGCCCAUGGUUCCUCUAAUAAGCAAUAAGCCAGUAAGAGAUGACAAACUUUUCAAAAAGGUCAAAGGUUUUGAUCUAGGAGUAUGACAUUCCUCUCCCUUGCUCCGAGCAUUGACAUAGCAAAAUGCAAAGUAAGUAUGCUAAAACUUUUAAAGCUCUACUUAUAUAUCUUUCUAGAAAAAGGCAAAUGCCUCUGUUUUAUUUUGUAGACUUACAGAAAACUCUAGAACAAAGGUAAGACAGAAGAACUUGAGACAUAGUGCUUGACUUGAUCGUUCGGUUUUUCAAUCACUUAAGACCUUAGUGAUAAAUUAAAAACCCUGUAGUAAGAGGCAUAAAAGUAACCCCUGUUUUCUUGCUGAUUUUAGCUUUGCUCAGGGACGAGCAAAGGUUAAACUUUGGGGAGCUUGUUGACGGUCCUUAAUGCUCACAUUUAACCGUCAACUAAUCAUGGAAAAUGACUUAUAUGCAACCAAUACCUAGACUUAGUGUUUUAUCUAACAGAAUUCCACGAGUUUUGGUGUUUGUCUAUUUCUGCAGGGGGUUAUCACGAAAUACGGAGGAAAGGCCCACACGUCGAGAUUACAUAGAGAUAUUAACGUGCCGCGCAAUUUUCUACCAUCUAGAAGACUCCAGAAGCCACGGGAACGAACGGGAAGGCAAUCGGGCUCGGAGGCAGGGCGCCCACCCUACUCUCCUAGGCGCCCGCCCUGCUACAGUGCCCAAUUAGAGUCCUUUUCGCGGAUCGUGCUCCACCGACCUAGGGGAUCAAGGAAAACCGUGCGAUUAAUGUCGGUUUGAUCCGACAGCCCAGAUUCAUCUGAAAAGACUAUAUAAGCAAGGCCCCCUGGCCCCUGGAGAUCAUACCUCUUCUACAGAAUCAAAGCUAGGGUUUCAAUUCUUCAUCCAAGUAGAGAGGAUCCCUCUAGUUCUUCUAGUUCUACCUCUAGUUCAUCUAGAUCUAGUUUUAGUUCAUCUAGUUCUAGUUCUAGUUCCUCUAGUUCUAGUUCUAGUUAGUUCUAGUUGUAAUCUGGAAAAUAGGGAGAGAGAAGUGGAGAGCGGAGGAGGAAGAGCCGGAUCUGUCGGAUCUUCUUCAACAUUGUACUUUUGCAGCAACUAGUUCGUCCUUCAUCGUUCUCCAGGUUCUUCAAUUCAUAAUCCUGAGUUCUUUAAUUACUUUUAUUUACAUUCAAGUUAUUUAUUGGAUUCCCGCUUGCAUCAAGUGCUCUAAUCUUUGCAACAUUAGAGUAGUAAUUAAUAGAUUAGACGUGGUGUUUAGUCUUGCAAUUACCUAGAAUUGCACCCAAUCCUACGGAUUGUUGUGGUAGCCCUAGGGUAGUGACAGCCCUAACGGUCGACGUAUUCCACCUCAUUCGGAUCGGUGUUUGUAGGACCGUAGUCAGAGCUUCCUAGCCCCCUUCUCAUCUCUUUCCGUGGUUAGUGAGCUGAUGUCCCAAAAUAAAUAAUCUUUGAAGUAAUUCUUGAUUCUUAGAUCAACUAGAGAACUCUCAGGAAACUUCCUCUCUUCCCACCAAAAACAAUUAUAUAGUUAUCCUUAGGUGAUUUUGAUUCUUAAUUAGUACACUCACGUUCCCUGUGGAAAAUCGAUACUCUCAAAUACUCCCGGGUGAAGGCUACAUUGGUAUCCAUGCGCUUGCGGAUUUUUCUGUUUGCGUUUAAAAUACCCAACACACACUUAGGGUUUUAUCUGACAGAAUUCCACGAGUUUUGGUGUUUGUCUAUUUCUGCAGGGGGUUAUCAGGAAAUACGGAAGAAAGGCCCACACGUCAGGAUUACAUAGAAAUAUCAACGUGCCGCGCAAUUAUCUUACAUCUAGAAGACUCCAGAAGCCACGGGACGGAAGCGGAGGCCGAACGGGGCCAGGCACUGGGCGCCCGCCCAGUUGACUGCGCGCCUGCCCCCUCACAGAGUUGGAUCAGGACUCUCUUUCGGGAUCAAUCUCCACCGACCUAAAGGAUCAAGGAUAACCGUUCAAUCAAUGUCGGUUUGAUCCAACGGCCCAUAUUCACUUGAAGGGACUAUAAAACCAGACCCCCUGGCCCCUGGAGGAGAGAGCCUCUCAACCCUAAUUCAUUAUUCCUCAAGGGAGAAGAAGCCUCUGAUCAAGAUUAGAGCCACCACAUCGAUUAGAUAUGUAGAUUAGCAUAGCUACAUAGGAUUAGAACUAGAAGGAGUCAAUCUUCGAUUGGUUUCCGGAUCUGUCAAGAGGAUUCUUGGUAAUUCUCUAAUUGUUCUUCUAAUUGUUCUUCUAAUCAUCUUGUUCUUCAAUAUUAUGAAUAUGACUUUGUUCUACUUCAAUAUAUUGCUUAUGACUUUGUUCUACUUGCUUAUAUUCAAGAUUAUAUUGUUCUUAGUUUAUCAUAUUUAUAUACUUGGCUUAGUUAGAUUGGAUCUAUAUACAUGUUUAGGAUCGUAUAGCGUUUAUCCAUCGGAUCCAUGGGUAAAUGAUAGAUAUUGUGUAGGCGUGGUGCUUAUACCGUAUUUAUCUGCGAUUGUACCCAAUAUGCCAGAUCGUGGGGUAGUUCGUGAUAGUGACAGCUUCAUUGAUUCUUAUAUAUGUAACAUAACCGUCCAAUUUAUAAGAAUUCAAGUGAAUUAGCGACCACGGAGGCAGUCAAGCCAAUGGAGUUGAACCUAUAUAAACCCGGUAGUCCGACGAGAUCUCAAAAGACUCGAUUCAACCAACAUACAACCAAGAUCGUACAUGAUCAAGCAUCACCAUCACAGAUUACAACAUUCAUCACAGAACAUAGUUUUACAUCACAUCAGAGUUUAAAGUGGUUAUUACAAACCAUAGCAGUAGCGGAAACAAAGUAGUUUUGAAACAACAUCAACUCAGUUUAUAAUACAUGCCAGUUCCAUGGUCAAGUCCCAACAAAAGCACAACUGAAGAUAAAGGAGGUGAUCACGCCCAUGAUCUAUUCAUCAUCCGCAGCCGGGUGAAGACACUUAGCAUAGUAGCCGUGGUAAACGACAUCAUCUGCAACAGGGGUAAAUAAAACCCUGAGUACGAGAAUCUACUCAGCUAGACUUACCCGUCAUAAAUCAAAACAAAGUGACACCAAGGAGUAUGCAAGGCUGAUCUUUGUGGACUGGUUUGACUCGCCUUUUGCAUAAAAGCCUUUGUUGUAAGUAACUCAUUUAUCAUAUUUCAGCAGCAAGUUCAUUACUUAGCAACUAUCCACUAGAUUAGCACCUGUUCUAAGCAUACACUUGUGUAUUUAAGCAUUACAAUAAUAACCAUAUCCAGAUUUUCACAUAGCUAUCAUCAUUCUCAUCAUAACCAUUAAAUUUAUUUAGUGAAUUCUACGUUGCCGCUGCCCAAGUCAAGUUCUCACUAUCCGGGAGAGACGGCGAUUCGAAUCGAUUCCUAUCUAGCUGGAGGGUUAUUCCUAACACUCACCCAAGCAUACUUCAUGACGGUAGCUCGGAUCACCUUUAGCACAACUCCGGACCAAUUCGCGGGUCCGUCCAGCGCCUCACCCCCAGGGAUCGCCAAUCUGCCAGGGUCAGGACUCUAACCUGACACCUCGGUCUUACGCCAUUGACUCCCCGCACAUCCUUGCUACCAACCGGGGUGCGCACUCAUACAGAACGGGGUAUCCGGCCUGAGUUGCACUCGUAGGCUUCACGGUCGGAACGACUUAUCCGGCCAACUAAGUGAUAGGCAUGCGUUCAACAUGACACGGGGACGUACAGCGAUUCGGUCCUUAAACGACACAGACGGGGAUAGAUUCACACCCAAGACCUCCAUGCCUUGUUGCUGCACUAUCGUCAUCCCGCCCGGUCUCAAGUUCAUUUUUAGCACCUGGUUAUCUCCACGAUAGCAAAUAUAGCCAACCGUGAUGAUCAUCCACCUAACUCUCGCAGGUGACAGGAAAUCACCCGGCUUCUACCGAGCUAAGCAUGGCUAAGCAUUACUUCGAUCCUAGACCUACUUUGGUAAUGUUUAAGGUGGACAAGGUAGUCAUUAUGCAGCAAGGGUGUCAUAUCAACGCCUACCACUUAAUGCAACAAUAUAUAACCAUAGUCAUUUGACAGCUGAACUUGAUAAUAAAAUAGUAGGAGGCUUAUAAUGCUCCAGGGCUUGCCUUCGACGUAGGUAGAGGGACGAUGGUCGGGGCACUCCGGCAAGUCCUCCUCCUCCUCAGCUCCUUGAGGUAGCUCCCCUUGCUGUCCUUCCGGCUCCGGCAACUCGUACUCCAGCACCGUCACGCCCUUGGGUACACCUAGGUAUGCAUGACAAGGAGAUGAAUACAGACAAUGCACAUAUGAUGCAUGAUGUCAUGAUGGGGAGUAAAAAGGACAUAAACAAGGCAUAACAUGAGCAUAAACUUCUAAGAUUAAGUGAAUCAUGGAAUAACAAGUAAGUGCAUACUUCUUCUCUGGUAGAGAGACUGAAUAGACAAGUUAAACAAGUUCUAGCUACUCCUACUCAGCCACUGGUUUAGUAGACAAACCAACCAGUCACAAGUUUCAGCCCUAACUCAAGCAUCUAUUAAUCAAACUAAGCAAGUAAGUACUUUCUGGAAAGUUUAGCAAAUUGUCUACAAUUCACUUUUAGACAUCCCAGACUGAUUCCCUACUUAAAUAUGCUAAAACAUACAAAGUUGACUGGCUGUCCUGGAAAAUCCAGAGAGCAAGCACUUUGCAGCAGCUACUUGCAACAUGCAUAACUUUCAAACUACUCAACCAAAUGUCAUGAAAUUUGGACACGAAGUAGAUCAGUAAGUUAGCUACAAGUUUGUUGUAGACAAGUUUCCCAGAAAACAUUAUCUUCAAAUAGUUCUUAAUCAUUUGCUAUCAGCUGUACAGAAAUGCUCUAGGAAAGGCAAAAAUAGCAAAAAUAAUAUUUUGCACAUAUUGAGAAUGUAUCACAGGGAUAAACCAAUUGCACCAAUAGAUAGAACAUGACUAAGAAACACUAGAAAACAUCAUGGCAAGGUCUAAACUCAUUUCUAUCAUCACCUUUUCCAUUUAUUUAAUUAUUAAGGUGAUUUAAUGAACAUGCAUUCCAAGUGUUCCAAAAAUCCUAAGAAAAUUACAGCAAACCACUUAUGCUAACAUAAGAUCACUAUAAAAUUUUCACAACAUUUGCACAUACACAUUGUGAGGUAUAAAAAUAACAAGCUAGUAAAGGCAUGCAAGGCAUAAAUGUGAAACCCUAUCAAAAAGUGUCAAACAACAAAUUGCACAUUUUUCCUGGCUUUGUCUACUCAUAAGUACAACACUCAGCAAGUUUCAUCACAAAAGAAGUUAUAACUUAAUUAUUAAAAAUAUCACAAAAACUCCUAUUUAAGCAAGAAUUAUUUUUAACUUCUUAACCAGGCUUCCAAAAAUCAUGAAAACUUUAUCAGAGCCUAAUCAUAACAUAAGUAACAACACCCUAAAUUUGCAUGGCCAGCAGAUCACUAGAUUUCAAGAUAUAAUUACCUCCUACAAAUCUAAGAUUAAUUUAUAUCUAUUUAUUUCUGCAAAAACCUGACAUGUUUCAUAUUUUUAUUAAAAACUAGACUUAUGCUGAAACCUAGCAAAAUUGGAAUCACUUCAUUUGAAUCUCUAAAACUCCAGAUAUGGAUUUUACAAAAACAGCAUUGGCUCUGUAAACAGUGAACCAGAGGGGUGAGAGAGGAGAGGCUGACACUCGGGACCCGCGCGUCAGUGAGACAGUGACAGGGGAGGAGCUCGCCGCCGGCAAAGCUCAACGACGACGAGGUUUCCGCCGGAUCCAAGGGCACCUACGUGUUCCUCUCAUCAAGGCGACUCUGUUGAUCUACUUUACCCGCGCUCUACUGGACCCUAAGGUGCUCGCCGUCGUGAAUGGCGGAGCGACGGCGCUGCGCGGUGUUACGCCGGCGGAUCUAGGCAAUGGCGACGCAGUAGAGCUUGCGGACGAGCAAGAGUGGCUCAAGGCGAAGCUAUAGGAAGAAGAAUCACGGCCAGAGGUGAACCAGAGAGGUCUGGCCACGUUGCCGGUGAUCUCUGUGAACUCCGGCGAGGUGGAGCUCGCGGCGGAGUUGGCAAUGCGACCUCACCGGUGCUCGGCUAAGGGAAUGGAGUGGACGUCGAGGUAGAGGACGUCAAGGCGGAGCUCUGGGCGGGCUGGCUUGGCCGGAGACGCGGUGGAACGGCCGGAGAAGCUCGCCGAAGUGCGGCGGAGCUCACCGAGGCGACGGCGGAGCGAAAUGUGCAGCGCUGAGUGAGUGGAGAGCGCGUCUGAGGCGUCCACUCGGUGCGUGGCGACUUGGAGACGCCGUGGGAGCUGACAGGCGGGGUCGUCGACGGCGUACGGUCGACAGGUGGCUGGACACGCGGCGGCGGGCGGCUUCUGUCCAAACUGAAUCGGGCGAUUCAGUCGCCAUGGCCAAUGACUGAAUCCCGAAGUUCGUCGACGUUUUACUCUCAGCUCACUCGGUGGUUUUGGCUGGGAUUUGAUCCUCUGGACAGAGCUACAUGAGUUCUACAACUUUGAUUACAAGAUCAAAGCCUAACUCGGUCUAGAUUUCAAACUACAAAGCUCCAAACAACCCUACCUCGAAACUGCGUGACUCAACACUUAGCCAAAUUUGGCUAAGUGUGAAAUCAGCCCUGAUUUUUGGCUUGUGAACAAUUUUUGGAUGUGUUCUAAGCUUUUUCAUAAAAAGUAAUCAACAUAACUUUUGUAUCUUAUGAAAUUCUCUACAACUUUGCUUCAGGUGUCACAGACAUGCAAGAUCUCUAACAUUACUUUCAUAAAACAUCUUUGAUAGGAGGUUCAGGGGGUCAAAUAAGCCAUUCUAGGUUUAACCAUAACCUAGGGGCAUUUUUGGCCAAAACCUUCAACAUGAACUUUGCUCCAAAUGAUAUUCUAAACAUGAUUGAGGUAUUUUGGAAGACAAUGAACAAUUGUUUGCAUUGGCUACCCCUUAUAGUCACUCAAUUCAAGUCACACAAGCAAUUUAAUCAUGUAGUGCAUAUAGCAAAUGGCAUGUGAUCAUGGUAUGAUGCUCAUGAGUGAUCAUGAUGAUGCUUAUGUUGAUGAAAUGCUCAUGGUUAACAUGCAAGCUAACACUAGGAGUGUUACAGCCCUCCCCCCUUACAAAAAUCUCGUCCCGAGAUUUGAAAGACGUACCAUUUUUCAUAGAAUGAGGGAUAAGUUUCUUGUAAAUAGUCUUCCCUUUCCCAAGUGGCAUCUCUCUCAUUUUGACGGUUCCACAAAACUCUAAAAAGUUUGAUCACCCUCCCACGAGUAAUUCGUUCUUUGACAUCAAGAACUUGUACAUGCUUUUCUUCAUAGGAUAGGUCUGACUGUAACUUGAUAUCUCUUGUUUCAACUCUCUCUUCGGGCACACGAAGACACUUCUUGAGUUGAGACACGUGGAAUACAGGGAAAAUAGCUCUCAUUUCGGGAGGUAGUUGUACUUUGUAAGCUACCCUGCCGCUCUUCUCAAUGAUUCGGUAGGGACCCACAUACCUAGGGGCAAGCUUUCGUUUAACACCAAAGCGAUUUACUCCUUUCAUGGGCGAUACCUUUAGGCACACAAAGUCACCUACUUCGAACUCGAUUGGCUUUCUUCUUCGGUCAGCAUAGCUUUUCUGUCUAGCCUGGGCAGCUCUCAUGUGUUGCUGAAUAAUGAGAACUUGAUUUUCUGCUUCCUUGACAAAGUCAAUUCCGUAGUACCUCCUUUCACCAGGUUCGACCCAGUUUAGAGGAGUUCUACAUUUGCGGCCAUACAAAGCUUCGAAAGGAGCCAUUUGGAUACUCUCUUGAUAACUAUUGUUGUAUGAGAAUUCAGCUAAGGGUAACCAUUUCUCCCAUGCACCCUUGGAAGAUAUAACACAUGCCCUCAACAUAUCCUCUAAAUUUUGAUUCACACGCUCAGUUUGACCGGAGGUUUGGGGAUGAUAGGCUGAACUGCGAACCAACUUUGUACCAAGGAGUGAAUGCAGAUGCUCCCAAAAGCGAGCAGUGAACUGAGGACCUCUAUCAGAAAUAAUAGUGCGAGGCACUCCGUGCAAUUUAACUAUCUGAGAGAAGUAUAACUCAGCAUAGUCGGAUGGCCGGUAUGUAGAGUGUACAGGAAUAAAAUGAGCUGACUUGGUCAACGGUCAACAAUCACCCAUAUGGAAUUGUGUCCUUUUUGAGUAAGGGGAAGUCCAACAAUGAAAUCCAUGCUGAUUUCUUCCCACUUCCAACCUGGAAUCGACAAGGGUUGUAAUAAACCUGCAGGUUUAAGGUGAACUGCCUUUACCCUGCAGCAAGUAUCACACCUAGCAACAUAAGCUGCUAUCUCCUUCUUCAUUUUGGUCCACCAGAAACGAGGUCUCAAGUCUUGGUACAUUUUGCUACUCCCCGGAUGAAUGGACAAUUUGGAAGAAUGAGCUUCUUCUAGAAUUUUGUUGCGUAGGUCACGAUCUUUAGGUACAACUAGUCGAUUGUCAAACAACAGUUACACCUUUCUCAUCUACCCUGAAAUGCUUGGUGUCUUGCUCUUGCAUUUUUCUCUUGAUAUGAAAAAUACCAGGAUCAGAUUUUUGGAGCUCUAUGAUUUGACUUUCUAAUGAGCAACUGACGAUGAUGUUGUGCAGGACCACAGGAUGCAACAAAUUGAAGCCUUCCUCCAGGAGAGGUCUAACAUGUUGUUUCCGACUGAGAGCAUCAGCUACAACAUUGGCUUUGCAUGGAUGAUAGUGCACUUCUAAAUUGUAGUCUUUUAUCAAUUCCAGCCAUCUUCUUUGUCUCAUAUUCAGCUCGGGUUGUGUGAAGAUAUAUUUGAGGCUCUUAUGGUCAGUGUAAAUAUGACAAAGGUUACCCAACAGAUAGUGUCUCCAGAGUUUCAAUGCAUGUACAACUGCUGCUAACUCUAGAUCAUGAGUAGGGUAGUUGGCUUCAUGUUUCCUUAGUUGUCGAGAAGCAUAAGCAAUAACUCGGCCUUCUUGCAUAAGCACACAACCCAGGCCAGUGCGAGAUGCAUCACAAAAGACAUCAAAUAGCUUUUCAAUGUCAGGCUGUGCCAGAACAGGAGCGGUGGUCAGUAAAUGGCGUAAAGUGGUGAAAGCGACUUCACACUCCUCGGUCCACACAAACUUCACAUCUUUUUGAAGUAAUUUGUCAUAGGUUUAGCUAUCUUGGAAAAGUCUGGAAUGAAGCACCGAUAAUAACCAGCUAGACCGAGAAAACUCUGAACUUCGUGCACUGAAGUCGGGGCCUUCCAGUCUAGAACCUCCUGCACCUUUGACGGGUCAACAGAAAUACCCUCUUCGGGUAAAAUGUGGCCUAGGAAAGGCACUUUCUUCAGCCAAAACUCACACUUGCUAAACUUGGCACAAAGCUGAUGUUCUCGCAAUCUAGUGAGUACAAUCCGAAGGUGCUCCUCAUGUUCUUGUGCAUUUUCAGAGUAUACCAAUAUAUCAUCGAUGAACACCACCACAAACUUAUCCAGUUCGGGCAUGAACACCGAAUUCAUCAGGUACAUGAAAUGAGUAGGGGCAUUAGUCAGACCAAAGGACAUGACUAAAUACUCAUAUAACCCAUACCUGGUAGAGAAAGCCGUUUUAGGAAUGUCUUCAGGUCGGAUCUUGAUUUGAUGAUACCCAGAUCGCAGAUCAAUUUUGGAGAAUACUUUGGCCUUGGCUAAUUGAUCAAACAUGAUAUCAAUGCGAGGCAGUGGAUACUUGUUUUUGAUAGUCACGGCAUUCAACGGACGAUAGUCUACACACAUACGUAGAGACUUGUCCUUCUUCUUGACAAAGAGAGCCGGACAACCCCAUGGAGAAGAACUAGGUCGAAUAAGACCCUUCUCUAGGACCUCUUGCAAUUGCUUUUUCAACUCUGCCAAUUCAUUGGGUGGCAUUCGGUAUGGCCUUCUAGAGAUAGGUGCGGUACCCGGAAUUAGAUCAAUUUUAAACUCAAUGUCUCUGUCCGGCGGCAACCCGGGCAGGUCCUCUGGAAAAACAUCCGGAAACUCACACACUACUGGAAUUUCUGCUAUAGUGAGUGGUCGAAUAGCAUUGGCCGCGUGACGGAUGUCAUUGCUUCUAGGGAGUUGAACUAAGAAAGCUUCCUUACUAUCAGGCUCCCUCAACAUGAUGACCCUAGUUGAAGUGUCUAUUAACACUCCAUGAUCACUCAUCCAUUUCAUUCCUAGGAUAACAUCUAUUCCCAAGCCCGGUAAGAUCACAAGAUUUGCUGAAUAAUUACGCCCUUCUAUGGCAAUUUGUACAUCUCUCACUACUUGAUGUGUAGCAAUUUGAUUACCAGCAGCACUAAUGCAAAAUUUUCCACUAUCAAGGUCGAUUACAUGUUGCCCAUGCUUAGAUGCGAAUGCUUGACUCAUAAAUGAAUGUGAAGCUCUAGAAUCAAAUAAGACAACUGCAGGGUGUUGAUUUACAAGGAACAUAUCAGCCGUGACCACUUCACCUUCCGGAAUUUCUUCAAUGGUGGUAUAGUGCACUCGGCCCAUACGGUUAUUGCCUCCAGCCGCAGCAUUUCUCUUAGGAUAAGGGCAAUCUCUCGCCCAGUGACCAACUUGCUUGCAAUUGAAGCAGGGACGGUUAUCAGGAGGAGUCUUGGGACCUCCAUGACCUGUGGCACCUCUUGGGAGAGCAACUGUGAAGGACUUGCGAACUCCCGUCUUCACAUUUGACUUUUUCUACGGCGGCCUAUACCUUGUCACAGCAUUGGGUGGGCGAUAGGCCGGUUUGCUUGCCACUGGAGCCUUGGAUUGUGAAGCACCUGCCUCAUAGGCCCUCUUGCGAUUCUUGGACGCGACAUACACAGCAUUGGAGUUCUCUUGAGUCAACGCAUCACUCACAAACUCAUUAAAGGUGGUACUCUUGUUACCAACCAUGUUCUUGGACAACUUGGGUCCCAACCCUCUCUUGAAACUAGCGAGCUUCUUGACUUCGGUGUCAACCAUCUCAGGAGCAUAGCGAGACAAAUUAUUAAAAGCAUGAAGAUACUCAGUCAAGCUUUUAGUGCCUUACGUCAGGUUCAUGAACUCGGUGUGCUUGAUAGUCAUUAAGCCUUGGGGAAUGUAAGUAUUCCUGAAAGCAGUUGUGAACUGAUCCCAGGUUACAACAGCAUUGGCAGGCAAGCUGGUCCUGUAAUGACUCCACCAGACACCUGCUUUGCCCUCCAACUGGUGGGCUGCAUAUUCCGCCUUCAGCUCUUCGGUUAAUCUUAGCAAACGGAAUUUCUGUUCAAGGGUAUUGAGCCACUCAUCAGCUUCUAGAGGUUCAACAGCCUCCUUGAAAAGCGGUGGCUUGGUGUCCUGGAAAUCCUUGAAACUGCUGUACUGAUUUGCCUCUCCGCCUUGGCGGACAUGGCGACCACCCCGGUUCUGUUGCGCCAUAGUUUGCAUGGCCUCAUUGAGCAUACGCUGGCCCUCAACAAGAGCUGCUAAUAGCUCAGUAGGCGUAGGCGGGGGAGGAGGUGGUGGUGGCGGCACCUCGUUGUGAUCGGAGCGAGUAUUGCGAGCCAUCUGCACAAGGCAUACCAAGCGAUUGUUUCAGGCAACAGAUAUAAUUGUCACGAACUUCAAUUGCUGCCAUACGGAAUUUAAUGAAGUAAAUUCACACGAAUUAAGGCGCAAUAAUUCAUGUACAAUAAGAGGAUAUCUUCCAUGACACUUGGUUAAUCUCGCGAUCAAUCACAACCACAAUUUCUCACAGAUUAAAGACAUUUCAGAGAAUUAUUUAGGCUCAACAUAAACAUGGAGUAUCACACAUAAGUGCAUAGGGUUACAUAGAGUCAUUGCCACAACUUAAGUGUUUACAGGAGGGGCACCAUGGCCAAAUACAUAGAGUCUCAACUAAAAUUCAGAUUACAUGUCCAUUACAUAAAGAGAUGGAACUGAUACAUGAGCAUGGAAUUAUUGCUAGGCUACAUAUCUUCAUCAGAUUCUCCAUUAGAAAUGAUGCCAUCAUCCUGAUCUUCCUCACUAGGAGCUUCUUCAUGAUUAAAAGGGGCUGGUUGUGGAAUAGGAUUUAUGAUAUUAUUUAGGCGAUGGACAUCUAAUUGCAGCUCAGCAAUCCUAGUAAUCAGCUCUUCCUCCCUCAUUUCAGCAUGGAAUAAGGCUCUAACUCUAGCAGCUUCUCUAUUUUCAGCCAAGCGCAUGGCCUCAUCCCUCUCUUAGUCAUUUGCAUCAUACAGGCUUGUGCCUCAUUGCGCUCUCUAACUGCAUUCUCAACUUGGUUGCGGCGGGCUUGCAAAGCGGUGUGAUAGUUUUGGAUUUCAGCUUAUGCAUCCAUAAAAGCCUUGCGAUGCUUGCGCACUCGCUUGCGCAAUUUGCGCUGCCCAACUUGAGCUUGUUGAAGUGCUAGCAUGGCAUCUAUGUAGGUGUCCUGGCGCACGUAGUACAACUUAAGUACCGCUAGCAUGGCACUCAUUGUAACACCCCAGUGUUAUGGUUGCAUCAAACAUGUGCAUAGCAUGAGCAUCAUCAUUUAUUCAAAGCAUCCAUGAUCAUCAUCUAUCAUUGAGACAUGUCAUUCUUUGCAAAAAUGUGUUUUAAAUUGUUUAAAUAGGUUUCCUAUGCUUAUGUUUGAGUGAACAAUGCUUGUGUUUGUGCUUAAUGCCUUGGUAAAUAGCUUAUCUAUGCUUAACUUAACCUUGGGAACAAUGUUCAUGUUGAUCACUUCUCCAAAAUAAUCACUUAAGUCAUACUUAUGCAAAUAGGCCCUAGAAACCUCUUUUGCUUAGGCUUUUAAAAAGUGUUUCAUACAAUGUUUGCAUGUCAAAACUUCCUACAGCAAAGUUGUAGAAAAUUUUAUAAGGAACAAAAGUUGUUUUAUGGCCAUCUCAUGAAAAUGAUCACAAAUAGCUCAAAAGUGGCCCACAAGGCAGAUUUGGGGCUGUUUUCAACACUUAGAAAAUUUUCUAAGUCCUGGGUGCUUCGCAGUUUGCUCGAUCGAUUUUGGAAACUCUAUAUCUUUCAAUCCAAGCCGAUCUGGCCUUUGCUCUAGUUGACAAAGUUGUAGAUCUCGCCUAGUACUCCAAGUUUGUCAACUACGCCAUCUCCUAAUUCGCUCUGGUUUGGGAGAUAAUCACCGGUGAAGUCGCUCUGUCAGUCGGCCGAUGCGCUGCCUGAAUCGUUUUGGACCUCGCCGACGUGGCCGACCGGCGGCAGCACAACGGCGACAAUUGGCGCCCGUACGCCGUUCCUGGCCCCGCCUGUCAGCCCUCGUCGCGUGCAUGACCUCCACGGCGUCGCCCGCGCAGAGUGGACGCGUCCACUUCGCUCCUCCUCGCCUCCACUCGCCUGAACCUCGCCCGCAGCGAGCUCUCCGCCGCGAGCUCACUCCGGCGAGCUCGUGUGCGCUCCUCUCUGCGUCUCCAUCCACCAAACUCCGCCCAAAGCUCCGCCGUGAGCCGCUCUCCAAGCUCCACCCUCUAACUCGCCGAGAAACCCACCGGUGAGCCGACAUUUCUUUCUUCCCCCAAAUCGGUCCGCCGUGACCAUCUUCUCCGGCGAACUCAAUGCCGAGCGCUGUGAGGCUUCUCAUCGUCUUUGGUUAGGUCCUAGAGGUAGCUUAGGUCGUUAGCGAGCUUUUGCGCCACCUGGUGGACGCUCUACCGGGUUCUCCGUCGCCGGACACGGUGCGCAGCGCCGCCGUGCUUCCGCCGGAGUUGGGUGCUCUCGUGGCCAGCGCUUUCCACGGGGAUCCAGGCCAAGCCGCGUACCUAGGAAGCUUCGCCCUAGUCUGCUGGUGCUGUAGAAGGCCUUAGGUCACGCUCUACCGGCCUGAGGGCUCCGGCGUAACGCCGAGCACCUCCGCCGAGCCGCCAUUGCCGACGGUGAGCCCCUUCCGGUGGCUCCGCCGCGGCAAAAGUGGGGUCAAUCGAGUCGUUAGGGUUUGGGAAUCACGUUGAUGCCCUGGGUUUGGCCGGAGACCUCGCCGUCGCGGAGAAAUCGCCGGCGAAAGUCGCCUCGGCCGUGAGGAAGAAGAGCCUGACGGGUGGGACCCACUGUCAGCGACUCUCUCUUUCCCUCCUUUUCUUUUAUUCAAAAUCCUGAUUUUUGGCUUUCUUGCAAAAAUCAUAUCUCCUGUUUCUGAGAUCCAAAAAUUGUGAAACAAAUUUUGUGUUGUUUCUUGAGAUGGCUAGUAUUUAAUAAAAAUAUAAAAUGAAUCAUGUUUUCUGAUAAAUUAUUUAUUAAGGAUUUAAUCUUUUUAUUUAUGGAUAAAUGCAUAUCUCUGGUUUUACUGAUUAGUUUGCUCUGAAAAUUUUAUGGUGGUCUUUGCAUGGCAUUAGAGUGCUCUGAUACUUAUUUCAUGAUUUUUGGAGCACUGCAGUUGUGAUAUGUAAUUUGUGUUUGAAAUAUGGCUUGUUUCUUUAAUUAAACCACAUAAAAUAAUUGGUGCUUAUGCUGGUGCUCUAUUUUGGUGGUAAACUUGUUUAUGGUAUUCCUAAGAUAUAAAUAAUCUGAAAUCUGUUGUUUGACACUAUAUAAGUCAUGUCUAUGAAUUUAUGAAAUAAAUGCCUUGAUACAUGUUAAAUGCAUAUCUUUAAUUUGGCAUGUGCAUUGGUCCUGAAAUUUUUAUGGUGGUAAUCUGAUGUUAUACUUGUGCCUCUGUAAUUUUUGUAGAUUUUUCUGAGCACUUUAACUAAUAUCUUGUAAAUAUGCCUUAUCUAAAAUUAAUUAAUAAAUGCCUUGUUAAGUAAUUGUUUUGGGGUUUUCAACUGAUGAUCUGGUGACCUUGUAUUAUGUUUGUGCUCAUGAGUCAUAUGGUUGGCAUAGUUUGUGUUUUGAUCAUGUCAUUAAAUAAUUAACUAUAGGGUUAAAUGCUGUUCUGGACAGCAAGUGAGUAAUUUAACUUUGCUUAAUGAUAACUUGACUUUCUGUGAAACUUGUAUAAAACAAAGUUGUUCUAAACUUGUUGAACUAACUGUGGUUUAAAUUUGAGGUCAUUUGGCCAAGUAGUUUAAAAGUUAUAGCUGUUCCAAGUUGGGUUCCAGAAAUAGGGGUUCUCUGUUUUUCUGGGACAGAACCUGGAACUUUGUUAAAAUGACUAGUUUAAUAUUUGAAUCUUGCUGUCAUGUUUAAAGAUGAGUUGUAGAUAAUUUCCUAAGCUUUCCAGAAUGUCCUUACUCAUGUUUGUUGGACCUGUCUAUCUAUACUUAUGAUUUAUUUACUGAGCAUACUUGUUUUGUGUCGUUUGCUGCUUUUGUGCCAUGAUAGGUUUUGGGUUUUGUUAACUUGUUUAUUCAUGUGAGUUAGUAUAACUCUUGCUCCGUAAAUGAGUGUCCAGUGAGUUGCUUGUGUUAUUAAGCAUUCAUCUGUAGCAUGUGCACCUUCUCAUUCAUCGAGCAUGCAAUAGGUGCACCGGACGUGGCAGUUUCCUUCGAGCUCCAAGCGAACCCCGAAGGCCAGGAAGGCAGCCAGGAGGUGGAGGUCCAGCAAGUCGGACUCGAGGAGCCCGAAGAAGAAGUUGAGUGCCCGAAUCACGAGCCGGCAUCGUUCGUGAAAGGCAAGCCCCGGAGCAUUCUAAGCCUCCUCUAUUUUUGAAAGUUUACUUAAUACGUUAUAUCUAUUGAUGCAUUACGUAUAGGAGUUGUGAUGAAACUAUUGCUGCAUUCUACUCUAUCCUUGUCCAGAUAACUCACCCUCCCUGGUUGUAGAGUUAGGUUCGAGUAGCAGCUUAGUUAUGCUUUAAUCGGUAGAAGUCGGGUGAUAUCCUGUCAUCCGCGCGAUAUAGGGUUGUGUCGGGUCACGAUGGUCUAUAUGUGCUAUCGUGGAUGGAACCUGGUUAAAUUGACUUAAGCCGGGCGGAGUUUUGCAAGUGUGUAGUAACUCCGUCUGUGGCAGCUAAGGACCGAUCGUUGUACGUCCUCUUGUCAUGUUGAACGCAUGCCUGACACUUAGUUGGCCGGAUAACUCGUUCCGACCGCGAAGCCGAGUAGUAUGGCUCAGGCCGGAAGACCGGCAAGUAUAAAGUGCGCACUACCGGAGGAAGUGCGGUGUGCGGGGGACCAUUGGCGUAAGUCCAAAGGCAGGUGAGUUAAAAUUCCUGACCUCCCUGGCAGAGUGGUAGCCCUGGGAGUGCGGCGCUGAUCGGAGCCGCGAUUCCUGAGUUGUACCAAAGGUGACCCGUUGGCUCUCUGGCAGGGGAUGCCUGGGUGAGUGCUAGGAAUAAUCCUCUAGCUGGAUAGGAAUUCGAUUCGAAUCGCCGUCUCUCCCGGUUAGUGAGAACUUGACAGAGCAGCGGCAAACGUAGCAUUCAUUAAUGAACUUGGUUCAUGAUAAUGAUGAUAGCGAGAAAAGCAUAUGAUGAAUUUGGUAUGGUUAUUAUUGUUUGUAAUAAUCAAAUGAUGUGUUGUAGUACAGGUGCUAAUCUAGUGGUAGGCUGAUGAUAAAUAAAUUUGAUGCUCUUAAAAUGAUUUAGUUAUAAGUUAAGCUUUUGGCAAAAGGUGAGUCAACCAGCUCCACUUAAAAUUCAGCCUUGCAUGAUCCUUGGUGUCUUUUCUGUUUUCCUAGACGGGUAAGUCUAGCUGAGUACAUCCUCGUACUCAGGGUUUAUUCCCACCUGUUGCAGAUGAUAUCUUCUAUGACGGUUUCUGCAAGACCUGUCUCCAUCCCGCUGGGGAUGAGGACUAACCGUUGGGCACGGUUCUCUACUCUUCUCGUCUAUGAUGCUUUUGGAAGGAUGACCUAGACUCUGGCAGUAACAAACUUGCGAACUGAACUUUGAACAAGUGUGUGUAAUUAUUUUGCUUCCGCUACUUCGAACAAGUGUUGUAAUAACUUAAUACUCCGAUGUGGUGCCGCUUCGACGGCAAUGAAUGACCAUGUAACAUUCGUUGUGUUUAUGUUGAACUAUUACGAUCUUGGUUUGUUGCGAGUUGGUUUGAAGUCCUUCGUGAUUUCGAUUGACUACCGGGAUUAUAUGGGCUCAAGUUUAGAAACUUGAUUGUUUGACGAUCGUUUCUGCACUUGAACUCUUAUAAUUUGGUCGGUUCCGUGACACUCAUGGCAGGGCUAGAGCUAUAUCCUAGCAAGGUUUCUCUCAUCUCUAAAGACUCAUCCCCAACCUGGGACACAAAUGUGUCAGUCACACUCACUCUGGGAACGGAUCCCGCUGGGCCAUUCACUAGCUCAUCACCAUGCUCUUGGCAAAUCUCUAGCAAAACCUCCAGGGCUGCUACUUGGGCACCCUCCCAAGGAGUUUGGCCAUCACAGUCAACUAACCAACCUAGCCACUGUGGGUUAUUUGGACAAGGGGGAACUGUAAUUUGGACAUCUACCCAAGGUAAGGCCCCUGCAUGCUCAGCCUCGGUCCAAAUGUACUUAGGUGGUUCCUCAUAUCCAACUGAACUUAGCACCCUCCACAACAAAGUAGGAGUGCCAAACAUGUCCAGGAAAGUCUCACUCGCGUGCGGGACUGCCAUCUGUAGAAAGACCACAUUUGAGUAAGGGAGAUUAAUUACAAGGAGAGAUAAAGAAUCAUAUUUUCAGAAUUUAAUACCCAAGUAUUGCAUAAAGAAUGUAUGAAGGAUUCAUGCUGCAUGCACGUUCCAUACGUCCUUCCCAUUCCUAGAAGAAAGUUCUAACGGUAUAGUCGGUGGCAUACAUACGUGCACUCUUUAUACGCAUCUACACGAUCUAAACGUUUCGUUGUUAGUGUACCUGCAGAAGAUUUCAUUUCAGCCCAACCCCACAAUAGUAUAUGUGCAGGAAUGUAAAUCCAAUCACCAACAAUCAAGCUAGGUACUCCGAUAUAUAUUCCCGAACAUAUAUCGCAGCACACUACCCAAUUGGGAUACAUCCACAUAUACAUCAACUAUGUAUACAUGGCUGCACCUACUACCCACAAUUAAGUACCUUCAUAUAUACAUGUGUGAAACAUGUAAAUAUUCUAGUAACCACAGCUAACACUCCCCUAGACCGACGGUUGGACGGUCAUGCUCUCACAGCUCACACUUACCGUAGCGUAGAGGCAUAUAGAUCCAUACAUUACCACUCAAGCAAGUGGCAUCCAUACAAUUUCACGUCGUAUGGACGACGAAAGAAAACAAACAAUGCUUACCAUGGCGUAGAGGUAUGUGACCCAUUCAUUACCACUUAAGUAAGCUGUAUCCAUAUAAUUGCAUGCCAUAUGGACGACGAAAGGAAAAACCCCCAUGUUAGUAAUAAUAAGCCACCUAGAAGUCCUUAUAUGGGCAUAAAGGGCAUGACCACUGGCAUGGUAUAAGUUAUCAAAACCCUUUUUAAAACCACCCUAUAUAUAGCCUAAUUUGCCAAAUUAGUUUGAGAAAACCAAAUUCAUUUGUUUUCAAAUACAUCUAUGAUGGUUAUAUGCUUAAUCUUGCUCUGAUGCCAGCUGUAACAGAACCGUCCAAUUUAUAAGAAUUCAAGUGAAUUAGCGACCACGGAGGCAGUCAAGCCAAUGGACUUGAACCCAUAUAAACCCGGUAGUCCGACGAGAUCUCAAAAGACCUCGAUUCAACCAACAUACAACCAAGAUCGUACAUGAUCAAGCAUCACCAUCACAGAUUACAACAUUCAUCACAGAACAUAGUUUUACAUCACAUCAGAGUUUAAAGUGGUUAUUACAAACCAUAGCAGUAGCGGAAACAAAGUAGUUUUGAAACAACAUCAACUCAGUUUAUAAUACAUGUCAGUUCCAUGGUCAAGUCCCAACAAAAGCACAACUGAAGAUAAAGGAGGUGAUCACGCCCAUGAUCUAUUCAUCAUCCGCAGCCGGGUGAUGACACUUAGCACAGUAGCCGUGGUAAACGACAUCAUCUGCAAUAGGGGUAAAUAAAACCCUGAGUACGAGAAUGUACUCAGCUAGACUUACCCGUCAUAAAUCAAAACAAAGUGACACCAAGGAGUAUGCAAGGCUGAUCUUUAUGGACUGGUUUGACUCGCCUUUUGCAUAAAAGCCUUUGUUGUAAGUAACUCAUUUAUCAUAUUUCAGCAGCAAGUUCAUUACUUAGCAACUAUCCACUAGAUUAGCACCUGUUCUAAGCAUACACUUGUGUGUUUAAGCAUUACAAUAAUAACCAUAUCCAGAUUUCCACAUAGCUAUCAUCAUUCUCAUCAUAACCAUUAAAUUUAUUUAGUGAAUUCUACGUUGCCGCUGCCCAAGUCAAGUUCUCACUAUCCGGGAGAGACGGCGAUUCGAAUCGAUUCCUAUCCAGCUGGAGGGUUAUUCCUAACACUCACCCAAGCAUACUUCAUGACGGCAGCUCGGAUCACCUUUAGCACAACUCCGGACCAAUUCGCGGGUCCGUCCAGCGCCGCACCCCCAGGGACCGCCAAUCUGCCAGGGUCAGGACUCUAACCUGACACCUCGGUCUUACGCCAUUGACUCCCCGCACAUCCUUGCUACCAACCGGGGUGCGCACUCAUACAGAACGGGUUAUCCGGCCUAAGUUGCACUCGUAGGCUUCGCGGUCGGAAUGACUUAUCCGGCCAACUGAGUGAUAGGCAUGCGUUCAACAUGACACGGGGACGUACAGCGAUUCGGUCCUUAAACGACACAGACGGGGAUAGAUUCACACCCAAGACCUCCAUGCCUUGUUGCUGCACUAUCGUCAUCCCGCCCGGUCUCAAGUUCAUUUUUAGCACCUGGUUAUCUCCACGAUAGCAAAUAUAGCCAACCGUGAUGAUCAUCCACCUAACUCUCGCAGGUGACAGGAAAUCACCCGGCUUCUACCGAGCUAAGCAUGGCUAAGCAUUACUUCGAUCCUGGACCUACUUUGGUAAUGUUUAAGGUGGACAAGGUAGUCAUUAUGCAGCAAGGGUGUCAUAUCAAUGCCUACCACUUAAUGCAACAAUAUAUAACAAUAGUUAUUUGACAGCUGAACUUGAUAAUAAAAUAGUAGGAGGCUUAUAAUGCUCCGGGGCUUGCCUUCGACGUAGGUAGAGGGACGAUGGUCGGGGCACUCCGGCAAGUCCUCCUCCUCCUCAGCUCCUUGAGGUAGCUCCCCUUGCUGUCCUUCCGGCUCCGGCAACUCGUACUCCAGCACCGUCAAGCCCUUGGGUACACCUAGGUAUGCAUGACAAGGAGAUGAAUACAGAGAAUGCACAUAUGAUGCAUGAUGUCAUGAUGGGAUGUAAAAAGGACAUAAACAAGGCAUAACAUGAGCAUAAACUUCUAAGAUUAAGUGAAUCAUGGAAUAACAAGUAAGUGCAUACUUCUUCUCUGGUAGAGAGACUGAAUAGACAAGUUAAACAAGUUCUAGCUACUCCUACUCAGCCACUGGUUUAGUAGACAAACCAACCAGUCACAAGUUUCAGCCCUAACUCAAGCAUUCGUUAAUCAAACUAAGCAAGUAAGUACUUUCUAGAAAUUUUAGCAAAUUGUCUAAAAUUCACUUUUAGACAUCCCAGACUGAUUCCCUACUUAAAUAUGCUAAAACAUACAAAGUUGACUGGCUGUCCUGGAAAAUCCAGAGAGCAAGCACUUUGCAGCAGCUACUUGCAACAUGCAUAACUUUCAAACUACUCAACCAAAUGUCAUGAAAUUUGGACACGAAGUAGAUCAGUAAGUUAGCAACAAGUUUGUUGUAGACAAGUUUCCCAGAAAACCACUUAUGCUAACAUAAGAUCACUGUAAAAUUUUCAGAACAUUUGCACAUACACAUUCUGAGGUAUAAAAAUAACAAGCUAGUAAAGGCAUGCAAGGCAUAAAUGUGAAACCCUAUCAAAAAGUGUCAAACAACAGAUUUCAGAUUUUUCCUGGCUUUGUCUACUCAUAAGUACAACACUCAGCAAGUUUCAUCACAAAAGGAGUUAUAACUUAAUUAUUAAAAAUAUCACAAGAAACUCCUAUUUAAGCAAGAAUUAUUUUUAACUUCUUAACCAGGCUUCCAAAAAUCAUGAAAAAUUUAUCAGAGCCUAAUCAUAACAUAAGUAACAACACCCUAAAUUUGCAUGGCCAGCAGAUCAUAGAUUUCAAGAUAUAAUUACCUCCUACAAAUCCAAGAUUAAUUUAUAUCUAUUUAUUUCUGCAAAAACCUUGCAUGUUUCAUAUUUUUAUUAAAAACUAGACUUAUGCUGAAACCUAGCAAAAUUGGAAUCACUUCAUUUGGAUCUCUAAAACUCCAGAUAUGGAUUUUACAAAAACAGCAUUGGCUCUGUAAACAGUGAACUAGAGGGGUGAGAGAGGAGAGGCUGACCCCCGGGACCCGCGCGUCAGUGAGACAGUGACAGGGGAGGAGCUCGCCGCCGGCAAAGCUCAACGACGACGAGGUUUCCGCCGGAUCCAAGGGCACCUACGUGUUCCUCUCAUCAAGGCGACUCUGUUGACCUACUUUAUCCGCGCUCUACUGGACCCUAAGGUGCUCGCCGUCGGGAAUGGCGGAGCGACGGCGCUGCGCGGCGUUACGCCGGCAGAUCUAGGCAAUGGCGACGCAGUAGAGCUUGCGGACGAGCAAGAGUGGCUCAAGGCGAAGCUAUAGGAAGAAGAAUCACGGCCAGAGGUGAACCAGAGAGGUCUGGCCACGUUGCCGGUGAUCUCUGUGAACUCCGGCGAGGUGGAGCUCGCUACGGAGUUGGCAAUGCGACCUCACCGGUGCUCGGCUAAGGGAAUGGAGUGGACGUCGAGGUAGAGGACGUCAAGGCGGAGCUCUGGGCGGGCUGGCUUGGCCGGAGACGUGGUGGAACGGCCGGAGAAGCUCGGCGAAGCGCGGCGGAGCUCACCGAGGCGACGGCGGAGCGAAAUGUGCAGCGCUGAGUGAGUGGAGAGCGCGUCUGAGGCGUCCACUCGGUGCGUGGCAACUUGGAGACGCCGUGGGAGCUGACAGGCGGGGUCGUCGACGGCGUACGGUCGACAGGUGGCCGGACACGCGGCGGCGGGCGGCUUCUGUCCAAACUGAAUCGGGCGAUUCAGUCGCCAUGGCCAGUGACAGAAUCCCGAAGUUCGUCGACGUUUUAGUCCCAGCUCACUUGGUGGUUUAGGCUGGGAUUUGAUCCUCUGGACAGAGCUAUAUGAGUUCUACAACUUUGAUUACAAGAUCAAAGCCUAACUCGGUCUGGAUUUCAAACUACAAAGCUCCAAACAACCCUACCUCGAAACUGCGUGACUCAACACUUAGCCAAAUUUGGCUAAGUGUGAAAUCAGCCUUGAUUUUUGGCUUGUGAGCAAAUUUUGGAUGUGUUCUAGUCCUUUUCAUAAAAAGUCAUCAACAUAACUUUUGUAGCUUAUGAAAUUCUCUACAACUUUGCUUCAGGUGUCAUAGACAUGCAAGAUAUCUAACAUUACUUUCAUAAAACAUCUUUGAUAGGAGGUUUAGGGGGUCAAAUAAGCCAUUCUAGGUUUAACCAUAACCUAGGGGCAUUUUUGGCCAAAACCUUCAACAUGAACUUUGCUCCAAAUGAUAUUCUAAACAUGAUUGAGGUAUUUUGGAAGACAAUGAACAAUUGUUUGCAUUGGCUACCCCUUAUAGUCACUCAAUUCAAGUCACACAAGCAAUUUAAUCAUGUAGUGCAUAUAGCAAAUGGCAUGUGAUCAUGGUAUGACGCUCAUGAGUGAUCAUGAUGAUGCUUAUGUUGAUGAAAUGCUCAUGGUUAACAUGCAAGCUAACACUAGGAGUGUUACAAUAUAGUCCCCCUCUCGUGUAUUGGGCUGGCAGAGCAACAUUAUUACAGGGGAGUGAUUGCUAUGUUUCUCAUAUUCCUUGCUAAUAUCACUAUGCAUGGGUGUAGUCUUGUCUCGCAAUGAUUGCUAAGUAUGCUUGCACUAACUAUGAUAAUGCUAGACUAUAUAGUUGAGAAUAACUUAGGAAAUAUUCUUGUAGUUCAUUCUAAUACCAUGCUAAUGACUUUCUAGAAUAUCUAAUUGAGGUGCUUAUCAUAAUUAUAUGUGGCUAAGUUAUGCUGAUCAGAUUAAUUAUCUUGUCACUGUUCGUUACUUUAUAUAUC